UAAUACGAAGGGGGCUAGCGUUACUCGGAAUUACUGGGCGUAAAGGGCGCGUAGGCGGCUCAGCCAGUCAGGCGUGAAAUUCCUGGGCUUAACCUGGGGACUGCGCUUGAUACUGCUGAGCUUGAGGUCGAGAGAGGGUGGUGGAAUUCCCAGUGUAGAGGUGAAAUUCGUAGAUAUUGGGAAGAACACCGGUGGCGAAGGCGACCACCUGGCUCGAUACUGACGCUGAGGCGCGACAGCGUGGGGAGCAAACAGGAUUAGAUACCCUGGUAGUCCACGCCGUAAACGAUGUGUGCUGGAUGUUGGGGUUCCUAGAAUCUCAGUGUCGUAGCUAACGCGGUAAGCACACCGCCUGGGGAGUACGGCCGCAAGGUUG
RNAcentral lists this ribosomal RNA (376 nucleotides) under uncultured bacterium. Its description in RNAcentral is "bacterial SSU rRNA". It matches the Rfam family "Bacterial small subunit ribosomal RNA", at positions 521 to 896 of the family's 1533-position model. The record is from RNAcentral.